GACGAACGCUGGCGGCGUGCUUAACACAUGCAAGUCGAACGGAAAGGCCCUGCUUUUGUGGGGUGCUCGAGUGGCGAACGGGUGAGUAACACGUGAGUAACCUGCCCUUGACUUUGGGAUAACUUCAGGAAACUGGGGCUAAUACCGGAUAGGAGCUCCUGCUGCAUGGUGGGGGUUGGAAAGUUUCGGCGGUUGGGGAUGGACUCGCGGCUUAUCAGCUUGUUGGUGGGGUAGUGGCUUACCAAGGCUUUGACGGGUAGCCGGCCUGAGAGGGUGACCGGCCACAUUGGGACUGAGAUACGGCACAGACUACUGCGGGAGGCAGCAGUGGGGAAUAUUGCACAAUGGGCGGAAGCCUGAUGCAGCAACGCCGCGUGCGGGAUGACGGCCUUCGGGUUGUAAACCGCUUUCGCCUGUGACGAAGCGUGAGUGACGGUAAUGGGUAAAGAAGCACCGGCUAACUACGUG
RNAcentral lists this ribosomal RNA (468 nucleotides) under uncultured bacterium. RNAcentral's name for it is "partial 16S ribosomal RNA". It matches the Rfam family "Bacterial small subunit ribosomal RNA", at positions 28 to 507 of the family's 1533-position model. The record is from RNAcentral.